AUUGCAGUUGAACUGCUCCUGCACAUGGUCAGAAAAAGCAAAGAAGCAGGUAAGCUUCUCCCUUUCUCCGUAUCUUUUUUUUCACCAAAUCCUUCUCAUUCUCCACUGUAGAAUACACAUGGCUAGCCUAUCAGUGGUAAAUAUUGCGAUGGAAACCACCAAUUGUUUCAUAGAUUGAGUCUACUUUUUGGCACUUUUUCUCCUUCGUUACAUUUUGUGAUAUUGCGUACAAUAGAGGAGAAGAACAAAGAACUCCAGCAAGAAAGAGUUAUGGAGAAAGGGCCGCAGGAAAACAAAUACAACUAUUCAAGCAAGUCAAGGUUUUGUGAAAUCUCAGAGAACAAUGGCCAUCAAGUGUUUGGUAAAAUAUCUGUGUGAAACUUGGGAUAGCAGAGAAAACACGGAGAACCCACAAAAGUCCGUGCUGCAAUUUUCAAUGAGAUGUAUUCAUUUGAACCCCCAGGUCCGUGCUGUAUAUGAGAGGUAUAUGAUAACAAUUUUCACUUGACUUGUGGGUUCUCCGUGUGCUGUAUUCAUUUCAGUGAGAUGAAGCCAGCUCAAGAGAAGAAGCCCCAGGUUUCUACUGCUAAAGGUCAUGCUACACCCCCUGCUGCUAAGUAAAUUUUUCUCCUUUCCUCUGCUGCUUAACAUCAUAGGAAAUAAAUAAACUCUUAAAUUUUUGUUAAUUUCCAGUUCAUUGUGUUUUAUUGGAGUAACAAAACAGAACGGUUUAUGUAUUGUUGAUAACAAGAGCCUAAGAGGCAAAAUUGCUAAAAUCAUAACUAGAACCACUGUUGUCCAUUAAUUUGUUUAAUAACCUUAUUUCAUUAUUAAAGGAUAGUCAUUAUGAACUCAUUAUGAUUCAAAUUGAAAUUUAUAUUCUUACGGUGAAGGCUUGAACUUAAUAGUACCCUAUAAUAACACCCAUUGCUUUAAAGACAUAGAACUUGCAUGUUUAACCAUGGCUUUGGUACAUGUUGACUUAAGACUUCUGAGUUUCAAUUUAGUUUUGCUAAAAAUGUCAAUUUUUGGCUGAUUUUUUCUCAGGAAUUUUUGGCUUAAGACCCAAAAAUCUAUCCAUAUUGAGAUAGAAUGUACCAUUAGAUGCCUAUCAUGCAAGGAAGAAACUGGAGUUGAAGCGAGAUAAAUGUUAUUAUUUACUUUUCUAAUGCCAGAAUUAGUAAAUCAUUUACCACAAUAUAACUUCUAAUUUGCUUCAUGUAAUGGCAAAAUACGAUAGGUGUCGCUUGGGAUUUGUGGUAAAUGAUGUAACAGGGUGUUUACACGCUGCAAUUUUCAGUCCAUAUGCUUAGAAAUUGUUAUCAUAUACCGCUCUUCGCCUAGCCAGUUGAUGACCAAGGGUUACAAUGGUUUGUUUCAUCCAUGCUUUUAAUCUGGAAAAUCCAAGGACAAAAGGACAGCGAAGAACAACACUAUCAAAGCAUACACUACUGAGGUUGGAGGUCAAAUUUCGAUAGCAAUCCCAAAUGAAGAUCACAAAAGAUGUUCCCAAAUUUCAUAUCAAUGCUCAGGAUCCUUUAUGAUGGCAUUCUCCUAAAGAACUUGAUGGAGUAAAUGCAAGUUAGCAAUCUAAUCAGUGGGCAGUCAGUAUUUCAAUUUAUAGUUGUCUAGGAUAUAGCACUACUAGAAAGUUUAUGACCGCCUACUCUAUUACUUGGCAGUGGGAAAUUAGAAAAGAUGUUAAUAUUGAACAAGUGCUCAGUUUCUAAACUCUGUUAUUUUACUCAAAUGGUGAAUUUGUAUGCUUAAUUCUUCUUUCUCCCU
Long non-coding RNA from Coffea arabica (coffee), 1785 nucleotides. RefSeq lists it as uncharacterized. The record is from RefSeq and is a predicted model, not a curated record. NCBI's taxonomy places the organism in Eukaryota, Viridiplantae, Streptophyta, Magnoliopsida, Gentianales, Rubiaceae.